RNAcentral lists this long non-coding RNA (974 nucleotides) under Daphnia pulicaria. Its description in RNAcentral is "uncharacterized LOC124318702, transcript variant X1". The record is from RNAcentral. Lineage: Eukaryota; Metazoa; Arthropoda; Branchiopoda; Diplostraca; Daphniidae.
GUACUUUAGAACAGUACAAGUUUGUGGAGACUUUUCUCAAUAUGCAGUUGCAGUGCCAAGUCAACAAGAUGCCUUGAUGUAUAGAUGAAAAUGGGCAGAAACAGGAAAUCUGAAAUGAUUCCUUGGUUAAUUUGGUGUUAAAGCUGUUAAUGGUGGUGAUGUCUGGUGUGCAGUGGUGUGGGAGUCAUUUUCUGAUUGAGAGAUGCACUGAUAUGGAGCUUCUGCAGAUUUGUAGUUCAACACAAAACUUCAAUAUACCAUGUUGGUGUCGAUGCAGUGUUGGGCUGUUGUGUAAAAUAGCUGGUGUUGCCUGAUGGCUUUCUGGCAUUUUGUUGGUGCAUUCUUCUGCUACCUGUAUCCAUGUUGAGUUAAACUGGAUGCCGCUGUUUCAGACUUGAUCCACUGGUGAAGCUGAGAAGUUUUACUGUAAUUCAAGACUGAGAAAUUAUUCAGAUUUAGACAAAUUAAAAAUGCAAAUCUUUUGUCCCUUUUUAGUUGUGUGAUUAUCAGGAAUGUUAUGGUGGAAUGUGGAAUUGCAAUUAGAUUUUACAUUUUCUAUGAGAACGAAAAGUCAAACCAAAUACUGAAAUGAUCCAAUUAACAUUUCAGCCUCCAUAACAAUUCUUAAACGUACCGCUUUUAAUCACUAACAUAAGAACAUGUUCUUGACAUAAGAACAUGUUCUUGACAUAAGCACAUGUUCUUGACAUAAGCACAUGUUCUUGACAUAAGAACAUGUUCUUGACAUAGAAGCACAUGUGCUUGACAGAAGCAAACAAUUCUUAAAUGUACCGCUUUUAAUCACUAACAUAAGAACAUGUUCUUGACAUACAAGCCCAUGUUCUUGACAUACAAGCCCAUGUUCUUGACAUACAAGCACAUGUUCUUGACAUACAAGCACAUGUUCUUGACAUAAGAAAACAAUUCUUAAACGUACCGCUGUUAAUCACUAACAUAAGAACAUGUUCUUGACA